UCUGUAACUCCAAUAGGAGCUAGCUCCAACUGAAGUAGAAGUUUGGAGCUAGGAGUUGGAGUUUAGAGCCCUACCAAACGGGGCCUUAUAAAUCAUCGAAUCCAACCGCUCCUGUUGCCCCACGUCUCCCCCGCCUCCCCUUCUCACACCCCCUCACUCCCGAAAUCACGCCGCAUCCACCCGCCUCUCUCUCUCGCUCUUCUCUCCUCUCUCUCUCUCUCUCGCACUCACCCGACGUCGCCCCACCCGCGCGUCGCCGAUUCCCCGUACACGAUUUCUCUCCUCUCCCGCGCCGCCCCUCCAUCGUCGUCGCGUGAAGUCCUCGUCGCCACCGCCGCCAUCGAAUCCUGCCGCCCCGCCAUCGCGCGUGACUCGGCUGCCAUCGAUUCCGACGCCCCGCCAUCGCGCGUGACGCCGUCGACGCCCCUCCAUCGCGCCGCCGUCAAAUCCCGUCUCCAGAUCGACGCCGCUGGUGCCCCUCACUCCAACCGCCAUGGAUCCCCCCUCACCCUCCCAUCCUCUCUCCGCGCACGCCCCCGACCCCGCAGGUCGCAGACGCGACGCCUCCCUCUUCCUCUUGCACGCGCCGCCGCCGCCUUCCACGUCGUUGCCAACGAAUUGGGAUCCACAUUAGGCUUUUGUUCAUCUGGUGUGCGGGCUUUUAGGAGGUUUUUUUUUGUGGGGUUUGCCUUUAGGGUUUUUCUGGGGACAAAAAGUUGA
This 720-nucleotide long non-coding RNA is filed under the name Oryza sativa Indica Group (long-grained rice). RNAcentral's name for it is "lncRNA OsMH63_02G014970". The record is from RNAcentral. Lineage: Eukaryota; Viridiplantae; Streptophyta; Magnoliopsida; Poales; Poaceae.